AGCUGCACCAACUACCACUGCACCUACAACAGCUGCACCUACAACAGCUGCACCUGCAACAGCUGCACCUGCAACAGCUGCACCAACAACAGCUGCACCAACUACCGCUGCACCAACUACCGCUGCACCUACAACCGUUGCACCUACUACUGCUGCCCCUACUACAGCUGCACCAACUACCCCUGCACCAACAACUGUGGCUUCUCAACCUACUUACACUGUCUCAUUAGGCUUGCCUAAUGAGAUAUUUACUGAAGAUCUCAAUAACCGAGAAAGCGCUGCAUUCAAAACUCUUGAACAAAAACUUGUUGGGCCAUGCAACACAAUAUACAGGAACAAAUUUGGUCCUAAGUUUGACAAGUGCAGAGUGAAAGAGUUCAGGCAACGAUCAACUAGAGCAGAUGGAGUUGAUGCAGAUUUGAACGUUGAGUUCACUACGAAUUCCAUCACCUCAGAACUCCCAGCGGAUGCUGUUGUUGCUGAAACCUUAGUAACAGCUGUAAAUGGUACCAGUAGCCCCUUCAACGUAACGAUAAAUUCCAACACAAUCAAAGUAGUAGGUAAGUAAAUACAUCUAUCUCACAGCAUGACACAACUGACUUUUUGUUACUCCCCCAGCCAAGUUCAUUAUCUAGUUCAUACUACUGCACUCAUCUGAGCACCAAUCCGUCCUUAUCCUGUGUCUGAUGCAUCAACAUUUUUCUGUUAAACAAGUGAUAAUGGAUUUGGAAACAAAUCUACUGCACCUGCACCACGUGCUUCAGACCAAGUGUUAAGCUUGAUAAAAUGGAGUCACUCAUCAGCGACGCUCUGAUCAGUCUUAAAUACAUGUGAAAUCAGUGUUUUAGAAAAAAUCUCAACAGAAGUAGCCAUUGACUCUCUAAAUGUAGCUGAAAGUCACUAGAUUGCUUAAUGGCGUCACAUGUGAAAAAGAUACGUAUUUUUUUUAAUGAGGUUGGAUAGGGAAAAGGGGUGGGAGGGAUUUCUGUUGUUUUUAAUUACUUUAUUUGUAUCAUUGAACCAUAACUGAUCAACCCCUACUCCUAUUUCUGAGCUCUCUGUUCAUGUAGAAAUUAUUGUUUAGUAGCUAGGGAAAGUGAACAGUAAAGGAGCACUAAAAAGAUUUAUUAGGACAACUUAAAGAUUUUCAGUUCUGUACAGUUGAAAUCAACCUAUCAACAGUUCCUGUGUGUGUGUGUGUGUGUGUGUUGACAUUCAAUAGUCUUUGCUUCCUUUUAUCCAUCUAAAAUACUUGUUCUGUAAUGUCUUUGUUAUUAACUCUGAUUCUUAGAACAGAUAAAUAUUGAUUUCUUCAUUUACACUUCUAAAAAAUGUGUUAUAGAAAGUCCAGUUUCAACUACAACUGCAGCAACAUCAACUGCAGCAACAACAGCUACAACUGCAGCAACAACAGCUACAACUGUAGCAACAACAACUACAGCUGCAGCAACAACUACAAAUGCAGCAACAACAGCUACAACUGCUGCAGCAACAACCGCUGCACUAUCUACCGCCGCACCUACAACCGCUGCACCUACUACCGCUGCACCUACAACAGCUGCACCAACUACCGCUGCACCUACUACCGUUGCACCUACCACUGCUGCACCAACUACCACUGCACCUACUACCGCUGCACCAACUACCGCUGAACCUACAACAACUGCACCUACAACAGCUGCACCAACAACCGCUGCCCCUACAACAGCUGCACCUACAACAGCUGCACCUACAACAGCUGCACCAACAACCGCUGCACUAUCUACCGCCGCACCUACAACCGCUGCACCUACAACAGCUGCACCAACAACCGCUGCACCUACAACAGCUGCACCAACUACCACUGCACCUACAACAGCUGCACCUACAACAGCUGCACCUGCAACAGCUGCACCUGCAACAGCUGCACCAACAACAGCUGCACCAACUACCGCUGCACCAACUACCGCUGCACCUACAACCGUUGCACCUACUACUGCUGCCCCUACUACAGCUGCACCAACUACCCCUGCACCAACAACUGUGGCUUCUCAACCUACUUACACUGUCUCAUUAGGCUUGCCUAAUGAGAUAUUUACUGAAGAUCUCAAUAACCGAGAAAGCGCUGCAUUCAAAACUCUUGAACAAAAACUUGUUGGGCCAUGCAACACAAUAUACAGGAACAAAUUUGGUCCUAAGUUUGACAAGUGCAGAGUGAAAGAGUUCAGGCAACGAUCAACUAGAGCAGAUGGAGUUGAUGCAGAUUUGAACGUUGAGUUCACUACGAAUUCCAUCACCUCAGAACUCCCAGCGGAUGCUGUUGUUGCUGAAACCUUAGUAACAGCUGUAAAUGGUACCAGUAGCCCCUUCAACGUAAAGAUAGAUUCCAACACAAUCACAGUAGUAGAAAGUCCAGUUUCAACUACAACUGCAGCAACAUCAACUGCAGCAACAACAGCUACAACUGCAGCAACAACAGCUACAACUGCAGCAACAACAACUACAACUGCAGCAACAACAGCAGCAGCAACAACUGUAGCAGCAACAACUACAGCUGCAGCAACAACUACACAUGCAGCAACAACAGCUACAACUGCUGCAGCAACAACAGCAGCAGCAACAUCAGCAGCAGCAACAACAACUUCAGCAACAACAACUACAGCUGCUGCAACAACAACUACUGCCAUCACAAAAAAGCAAGUGGUGUUCCGGUCUCUUUUGCAAACAUUCACAACCGACUUGUUGGAUACAUCAUCUGCUGCUUUUAGAGGAAGAGCUGCUAACAUAAAGAAUCAGCUUGAACCUCUAUACAGAAACAAAUUCUCUUCCUUCUCUUCCUUCGAAGUGGUGCGAUUCAGCAAUGGAUCAAUUUACAAUACUUGUGACCUCCGCUUCACUGGCACAUCUGUUCCUACCGACACUGCGAUUGCAGACGUUUUGCUAAAUGCAGUUUCAUCAGUCACCGGCUUCGACAUUGAAGGGAGCUCCAUCACCGUGGAUGGCAUAGCUUCAAGUGGAGUCAGUCAACAGAUCAGUCUCGUCACUGCAUCCUGUCUGGUGCUUGUGUCAUGGCUGCUGUCAAGCCAGCAAUAGCAUCUGUUAAGCUUCUGUAUCUAUAUCUAUACUGUUGCAUUGCUAAAGUCAAAAUGUAUCUGACUUCACUGAGCACUGUGUCGUAGCAAUAUUCAACUUUGUUCGGUAUUAAUGUCAUCUUAUCUAAACUUUUCUAUAAUCUCCAAAUGCAUCUAAAAUGAAUGUUUAAGUUUGUAUCUUAAAUUAAAUGAAGGAACACAUGCAGGUCAUAGCGGGCUUCACAAUGCAACCUGAUUUAUUUAAUCAAAGGUCAUGGUGUAUCUGGUAUAUACAUAUAUAUGAAAACUGUUUACUUUAGAUUUUCUUAUUUAUAUAUAGUGGAUUUAUGUAAUCCCACAUUUCCUUAUAAUGUAAAAUGUCAUGUAUUUCUGCAGCUUUGAGUUCUAAAAGUUCUCAAUAACAUCAUCCUAUGUUUGCCCAGAAGCAUAGCAAAGAGACAGCCCCAUUUAAUUAUGUUGUGGUAUGUUUUUGUUUGAUUUUAUUUUGUUUUUUAAUCUUAAUAACCAUAUCAUUUGGACUUGUUAUCAAUAAUAAAAAACGAAUGGUGAAUGUCUCUGUAACCCUUACCCUAUAUGUAUAUUGAUUUAAGAAUUUAUUGAGUUAAAUAAAAGUUUUU
Platichthys flesus (European flounder) is the source of this 3688-nucleotide long non-coding RNA. RefSeq lists it as uncharacterized. The record is from RefSeq and is a predicted model, not a curated record. The transcript has 9 exons. Lineage: Eukaryota; Metazoa; Chordata; Actinopteri; Pleuronectiformes; Pleuronectidae.